RNAcentral lists this ribosomal RNA (497 nucleotides) under uncultured bacterium. Its description in RNAcentral is "partial 16S ribosomal RNA". It matches the Rfam family "Bacterial small subunit ribosomal RNA", at positions 28 to 507 of the family's 1533-position model. The record is from RNAcentral.
GACGAACGCUGGCGGCGUGCCUAAUACAUGCAAGUUGAGCGCUGAAGGUUGGUACUUGUACCAACUGGAUGAGCAGCGAACGGGUGAGUAACGCGUGGGGAAUCUGCCUUUGAGCGGGGGACAACAUUUGGAAACGAAUGCUAAUACCGCAUAAAAACUUUGAACACAAGUUUUAAGUUUGAAAGAUGCAAUUGCAUCACUCAAAGAUGAUCCCGCGUUGUAUUAGCUAGUUGGUGAGGUAAAGGCUCACCAAGGCGAUGAUACAUAGCCGACCUGAGAGGGUGAUCGGCCACAUUGGGACUGAGACACGGCCCAAACUCCUACGGGAGGCAGCAGUAGGGAAUCUUCGGCAAUGGACGAAAGUCUGACCGAGCAACGCCGCGUGAGUGAAGAAGGUUUUCGGAUCGUAAAACUCUGUUGGUAGAGAAGAACGUUGGUGAGAGUGGAAAGCUCAUCAAGUGACGGUAACUACCCAGAAAGGGACGGCUAACUACGUG